RNAcentral lists this transfer RNA (84 nucleotides) under Candidatus Lindowiibacteriota bacterium. RNAcentral describes it as "tRNA-Leu". It matches the Rfam family "tRNA". From Rfam's summary of the family: Transfer RNA (tRNA) molecules are approximately 80 nucleotides in length. Their secondary structure includes four short double-helical elements and three loops (D, anti-codon, and T loops). The record is from RNAcentral. Lineage: Bacteria; Candidatus Lindowiibacteriota.
GCCGAGAUGGCGGAACUGGCAGACGCGCCAGACUCAAAAUCUGGUAGGGGCAACCCUGUGCGGGUUCGAUUCCCGCUCUCGGCA